This 447-nucleotide ribosomal RNA is filed under the name uncultured bacterium. RNAcentral describes it as "SSU rRNA". It matches the Rfam family "Bacterial small subunit ribosomal RNA", at positions 26 to 518 of the family's 1533-position model. The record is from RNAcentral.
AGAGCGAACGCUGGCGGCAGGCUUAACACAUGCAAGUCGAGCGGGCACCUUCGGGUGUCAGCGGCAGACGGGUGAGUAACACGUGGGAACGUGCCCUUUGGUUCGGAACAACUCCGGGAAACUGGAGCUAAUACCGGAUAAGCCCUUCGGGGGAAAGAUUUAUCGCCAAAGGAUCGGCCCGCGUCUGAUUAGCUUGUUGGUGAGGUAAUGGCUCACCAAGGCGACGAUCAGUAGCUGGUCUGAGAGGAUGAUCAGCCACACUGGGACUGAGACACGGCCCAGACUCCUACGGGAGGCAGCAGUGGGGAUAUUGGACAAUGGGCGCAAGCCUGAUCCAGCCAUGCAGCGUGAGUGAUGAAGGCCCUAGGGUUGUAAAGCUCUUUCGGCGGGGACGAUAAUGACGGUACCCGCAGAAGAAGCCCCGGCUAACUUCGUGCCAGCAGCCGC